RNAcentral lists this ribosomal RNA (421 nucleotides) under uncultured bacterium. Its description in RNAcentral is "partial 16S ribosomal RNA". It matches the Rfam family "Bacterial small subunit ribosomal RNA", at positions 361 to 774 of the family's 1533-position model. The record is from RNAcentral.
AUAUUUGACAAUGGGGGCAACCCUGAUCCAUCCAUGCCGCGUGUGUUAAGAAGGUCUUCGGAUUGUAAAGCACUUUAAGUUGGGAGGAAGGGCUUUAGGCUAAUACCCGGAAGUUUUGACGUUACCAACGGAAUAAUCACCUGAUAACUCUGUGCCAGCAUCCGCGGUAAUACAGAGGGUGCAAGCGUUAAUCGGAAUUACUGGGCGUAAAGCUCGCGUAGGUGGUUCAGUAAGAUGGGUGUGAAAUCCCCGGGCUUAACCUGGGAACUGCUUUCAUAACUGCUGAGCUAGAGUACGGUAGAGGGUAGUGGAAUUUCCUGUGUAGCGGUGAAAUGCGUAGAUAUAGGAAGGAACACCAGUGGCGAAGGCGACUACCUGGACUGAUACUGACACUGAGGUGCGAAAGCGUGGGGAGCAAACA